Molecule: long non-coding RNA, 1473 nt
Organism: Homo sapiens (human)
Lineage: Eukaryota; Metazoa; Chordata; Mammalia; Primates; Hominidae
Source: Ensembl
GGAGAGGCGCACAGCGGCGGAGAGGCGCACAGCGGCGGCGCAGGCGCGGAGAGGCGCACAGCGCAGGCGCUGGCGCGGAGAGGCGCAGGCCCAGGUCCACUCCCCAGCUGUGAAAGGAGGAGCUCUACGGUGACUUUGAAGACUUGGAAACAGGGGACAUGCACAAGGGAAAAUCGGGCCCCGACACUCAGAAUGAAGAUAUAGAGAAACAAGGAAGAAAUUGACCCCGACGAAGAAGAAAGUGCCAAGAAAAAGCAUUUGGAUAAGAAGAGAAAAUUGAAGGAGAUGUUUGAUGCGGAAUAUGAUGAAGGAGAAAGCACAUAUUUUGAUGAUCUUAAAGGAGAAAUGCAGAAAGAAGCACAGGUGAUCAGUGGCCCGUGUGGCUUAUGGACACACCAGAGCUCCCAGGGGAAGUGCUCUGAAAACUCAUCCUGGUCAGAGUUCAGAAGGACACGUGGAGUAUAAGGUCAGAUGCGGAGAUAAAGGGAGAUGGUGUGGCCCUCCUGCCUGGGGUUGCUGAGCAGGUUGCUGGAGACAGUGAUGUCACUCUGAAGGAGACAGACACAGAAACGUGUGUACAGUUGAUGCUGAAUCACGUAGAAUUUGAAGAUCAAGAUGAUGAAGCCAGAGUUCAGUAUGAUGGUUUUCGACCUGGGAUGUACGUCCGCGUUGAGAUUGAAAAUGUUCCCUGUGAAUUUGUGCAGAACUUUGACCCCCAUUACCCCAUUAUCCUGGGUGGCUUGGGCAACAGCGAGGGAAAUGUUGGACACGUGCAGAUGCGUCUGAAGAAACAUCGCUGGUAUAAGAAAAUCCUCAAGUCCCAAGAUCCAAUCAUAUUUUCUGUAGGGUGGAGGAGGUUUCAGACCAUCCUGCUCUAUUAUAUUGAAGACCACAAUGGAAGACAAAGGCUUCUAAAGUAUACCCCACAGCACAUGCAUUGUGGAGCAGCCUUUUGGGGUAAAAUAUGAUUACAAUAACUUGCCUAUUGCCGAGAUUAAACUUUACAGGCUGCGUUAUUUUAGCUUUGUGCUUUUCCUUUCAUAAAAUUCCACUCCUAAGAUGUUUCUGUUUUCUGGGAGCGGGGAGGUGGUUUGGAGUAUAUAUGUAAAUCUAUAUCCAAAUCUAAAUGUCCGUAUCCAGUAUGUUAAACUAGAAUCUAAAAUUUCUGGUUUGCUAUAUUUCUUUUUUUCCUUUUCCUUUAAGACCCUAUCACUCCACAGGGAACUGGUUUCUUGGCAAUACAGUCUGUCAGUGGCAUAAUGGUAACUAUCUUGGACAAUUUCUUUUACAGAUUGGUUUGAGAAAUAUAUCCUGAAUGUGGGUUAUUAUGUACAUGAGACUUUAAGUUGAAAAUUACUCAUUUUUAUUAUUAUAAAGUAAAUUUCCCUUUGCUUUUAAUCUUUGUACAUCCUUUUCAGUAGGGUGUGGGAUUAGAGGAGGGGAGGUGGAAGAAUUAUAAUGGUACAUUUCCUA